UGGGGAAUUUUGGACAAUGGGCGAAAGCCUGAUCCAGCAAUGCCGCGUGUGUGAAGAAGGCCUUCGAGUUGUAAAGCACUUUUGUCCGGAAAGAAAUCCUUGGCUCUAAUACAGUCGGGGGAUGACGGUACCGGAAGAAUAAGCACCGGCUAACUACGUGCCAGCAGCCGCGGUAAUACGUAGGGUGCAAGCGUUAAUCGGAAUUACUGGGCGUAAAGCGUGCGCAGGCGGUUUGCUAAGACCGAUGUGAAAUCCCCGGGCUCAACCUGGGAACUGCAUUGGUGACUGGCAGGCUAGAGUAUGGCAGAGGGGGGUAGAAUUCCACGUGUAGCAGUGAAAUGCGUAGAGAUGUGGAGGAAUACCGAUGGCGAAGGCAGCCCCCUGGGCCAAUACUGACGCUCAUGCACGAAAGCGUGGGGAGCAAACAGGAUUAGAUACCCCUGGUAGUCCACGCCCUAAACGAUGUCAACUAGUUGUUGGGGAUUCAUUUCCUUAGUAACGUAGCUAACGCGUGAAGUUGACCGCCUGGGGAGUACGGUCGCAAAUU
RNAcentral lists this ribosomal RNA (547 nucleotides) under uncultured bacterium. RNAcentral describes it as "partial 16S ribosomal RNA". It matches the Rfam family "Bacterial small subunit ribosomal RNA", at positions 355 to 894 of the family's 1533-position model. The record is from RNAcentral.